Molecule: long non-coding RNA, 730 nt
Filed under: Equus caballus (horse)
Lineage: Eukaryota; Metazoa; Chordata; Mammalia; Perissodactyla; Equidae
Description: lncRNA (ENSECAG00000053621.1)
Source: RNAcentral
AAAAGCAAGACACUUGGCUGAGUCCAAAGUCAUGGUUCAGGGAAGCGCUUUCCACCUGUAUGAGGUCAAAGCAAAACUCACAUGGCCAACCCAGCAUCAGUGGAAGAGCCUUCGGGACCUACUGGAGGCUGAUCUUGUAUGGAUGUCACUUCCACUUGAAGAAACGUGCUUCCAUACUGUUCCAUCAUUCUGUGCAUUCUGUGAGAUAUCAAGUCAUCUUGAUAUGCCAAAUAUACCAUUUCACAGUCAUGUGAUCAUGUGGUGUCCCACGAUCAGCCCUGUCUCCAUGAAGGAAUUCUGUCAGUUACUAUAUCUAAAUCAAGUAUGUAUUCAGGAACAGAAGAAACAACCUCUGUGGUUUUGCAGUUCCGGUGAGACCUCCUUAAGUCUCUCUGACUGGUGGGACAGAGUUGAAUUUCAGUUUCCCAUUUCAUCUCAGUGCAAUUAUCCAAUAUAUCUCCAAACGUCCAGAUGUCUCUGAGAACCUCUCAAUAGCAGAAUCUAAAUGGAACCUUGCUGGCACGGAAGUCUGGGGCUUUCCACCCUUGCAAUAUGGAGAAGUGCUUAGAAGGCAGGAAUGGUACUGAGUUUCAACAAAGAAUGACACAAUGACCAUGGAGAAAAAUAAGGUCCCAAGAACUGGACUUCUUUUCAGAAUGUCUCAAACCAAAUGAACUAAUUAUAACCAAACGUAAACUCAAUUCUAUAGUUCUAGAUGGGUGAAUGUGGG